This 349-nucleotide ribosomal RNA is filed under the name uncultured bacterium. RNAcentral's name for it is "partial 16S ribosomal RNA". It matches the Rfam family "Bacterial small subunit ribosomal RNA", at positions 338 to 685 of the family's 1533-position model. The record is from RNAcentral.
CCUACGGGUGGCAGCAGUGAGGAAUAUUGGUCAAUGGGCGCGAGCCUGAACCAGCCAAGUCGCGUGAGGGAAGACGGUCCUAUGGAUUGUAAACCUCUUUUGUCGGGGAGCAAAAGACGCCACGCGUGGCGUUCCGAGAGUACCCGAAAAAAAAGCAUCGGCUAACUCCUUGCCAGCAGCCGAGGUAAUAAGGAGGAUGCGAAAGUUAUCCGGAUUUUUUGGGUUUAAAGGGUGCGCAGGAGGAAGACCAAGUCAGCGGUAAAACGGAGGGGCUCAACCUCUUCGAGCCGUUGAACCUGGUUUUCUUGAUUGAGUGAGAAGUAUGCGGAAUGCGUGGUGUAGCGGUGAA